AUUGAACGCUGGCGGCAGGCUUAACACAUGCAAGUCGAGCGGGGUGAUGGUGCUUGCACUAUCACUUAGCGGCGGACGGGUGAGUAAUGCUUAGGAAUCUGCCUAUUAGCGGGGGACAACAUCUCGAAAGGGAUGCUAAUACCGCAUACGUCCUACGGGAGAAAGCAGGGGAUCACUUGUGACCUUGCGCUAAUAGAUGAGCCUAAGUCGGAUUAGCUAGUUGGUGGGGUAAAGGCCUACCAAGCGACGAUCUGUAGCGGGUCUGAGAGGAUGAUCCGCCACACUGGGACUGAGACACGGCCCAGACUCCUACGGGAGGCAGCAGUGGGGAAUAUUGGACAAUGGGGGGAACCCUGAUCCAGCCAUGCCGCGUGUGUGAAGAAGGCCUUAUGGUUGUAAAGCACUUAAGCGAGGAGGAGGCUCUUUUGGUUAAUACCCAAGAUGAGUGGACGUUACUCGCAGAAUAAGCACCGGCUAACUCUGUGCCAGCCGCCGCAGUAA
This 501-nucleotide ribosomal RNA is filed under the name uncultured bacterium. RNAcentral's name for it is "partial 16S ribosomal RNA". It matches the Rfam family "Bacterial small subunit ribosomal RNA", at positions 30 to 523 of the family's 1533-position model. The record is from RNAcentral.